Molecule: long non-coding RNA, 165 nt
Organism: Carcharodon carcharias (great white shark)
Lineage: Eukaryota; Metazoa; Chordata; Chondrichthyes; Lamniformes; Lamnidae
Exons: 3
Source: RefSeq, a predicted model, not a curated record
GUCUUGCUCGCUGGGAGAAGGAUCUGCAAGAACCAGCAGACAGGCAACAUGAACAUUGAUAAGGAACUGAAAUAUUCCAGAGCACGUACGGAAGAAAAGGCGACUCCUUAUGCUCCGCUGGCGGUUAAUGCUGACCCCACACUCUGAUAACAAUGGAAAUUGACA